UACGUAGGUGGCAAGCGUUGUCCGGAAUUAUUUGGCGUAAAGCGCGCGCAGGCGGCCUCUUAAGUCUGAUGUGAAAAGCCCCCCGGCUCAACCGGGGAGGGCCAUUGGAAACUGGGAGGCUUGAGUAUAGGAGAGAAGAGUGGAAUUCCACGUGUAGCGGUGAAAUGCGUAGAGAUGUGGAGGAACACCAGUGGCGAAGGCGACUUUUUGGCCUAUAACUGACGCUGAGGCGCGAAAGCGUGGGGAGCAAACAGG
Molecule: ribosomal RNA, 255 nt
Filed under: uncultured bacterium
Lineage: Bacteria
Description: partial 16S ribosomal RNA
Rfam family: Bacterial small subunit ribosomal RNA
Source: RNAcentral